RNAcentral lists this ribosomal RNA (499 nucleotides) under uncultured Glomeromycotina. RNAcentral's name for it is "partial small subunit ribosomal RNA". It matches the Rfam family "Eukaryotic small subunit ribosomal RNA", at positions 591 to 1092 of the family's 1831-position model. The record is from RNAcentral. Lineage: Eukaryota; Fungi; Glomeromycota.
CCAAUAGCGUAUAUUAAAGUUGUUGCAGUUAAAAAGCUCGUAGUUGAAUUUCGGGGUCAGUAGGUCGGUCGUGCCACUGGUAUGAACUGGUUUCACUGAUUCCUCCCUCUUGUAGAACCGUGAUGCCAUUAAUUUGGUGUUGCGGGGAAACAGGACUGUUACUUUGAAAAAAUUAGAGUGUUUAAAGCAAGCUAACGCUUGAAUACAUUAGCAUGGAAUAAUGAAAUAGGACGUCUGUCUUAUUUUGUUGGUUUCUAGGAUGGACGUAAUGAUUAAUAGGGAUAGUUGGGGGCAUUAGUAUUCAAUUGUCAGAGGUGAAAUUCUUGGAUUUAUUGAAGACUAACUACUGCGAAAGCAUUUGCCAAGGAUGUUUUCAUUAAUCAAGAACGAAAGUUAGGGGAUCGAAGACGAUCAGAUACCGUCGUAGUCUUAACCAUAAACUAUGCCGACUAGGGAUCGGAUGAUGUUAAUUUUUUAAUGACUCAUUCGGCGCCUUACG